This 74-nucleotide transfer RNA is filed under the name Nitrososphaerota archaeon. RNAcentral's name for it is "Thaumarchaeota archaeon tRNA-Pro". It matches the Rfam family "tRNA". From Rfam's summary of the family: Transfer RNA (tRNA) molecules are approximately 80 nucleotides in length. Their secondary structure includes four short double-helical elements and three loops (D, anti-codon, and T loops). The record is from RNAcentral. Lineage: Archaea; Thermoproteati; Nitrososphaerota. RNAcentral also lists the same sequence under 3 other names.
GGGAACGUAGUCUAGCAUGGUAUGAUUCGGGCUUUGGGUGCCUGAGGUCGCAGGUUCGAAUCCUGCCGUUCCCA